Molecule: non-coding RNA, 72 nt
Organism: Phrynosoma platyrhinos (Desert horned lizard)
Lineage: Eukaryota; Metazoa; Chordata; Lepidosauria; Squamata; Phrynosomatidae
Source: the annotation of a GenBank genome assembly
GCCAAUGUGGUAUGGUGGUUUGAGCAUUAGACUACGACUCUGGUGACCAGGGUUCGAAUCCCCACUUGGCCA